ACCUGAAACCGUGUACGUACAAGCAGUGGGAGCCUCUUAAUGGGGUGACUGCGUACCUUUUGUAUAAUGGGUCAGCGACUUAUAUUCUGUAGCAAGGUUAACCGAAUAGGGGAGCCGAAGGGAAACCGAGUCUUAACUGGGCGUUAAGUUGCAGGGUAUAGACCCGAAACCCGGUGAUCUAGCCAUGGGCAGGUUGAAGGUUGGGUAACACUAACUGGAGGACCGAACCGACUAAUGUUGAAAAAUUAGCGGAUGACUUGUGGCUGGGGGUGAAAGGCCAAUCAAACCGGGAGAUAGCUGGUUCUCCCCGAAAGCUAUUUAGGUAGCGCCUCGUGAAUUCAUCUCCGGGGGUAGAGCACUGUUUCGGCAAGGGGGUCAUCCCGACUUACCAACCCGAUGCAAACUGCGAAUACCGGAGAAUGUUAUCACGGGAGACACACGGCGGGUGCUAACGUCCGUCGUGAAGAGGGAAACAACCCAGACCGCCAGCUAAGGUCCCAAAGUCAUGGUUAAGUGGGAAACGAUGUGGGAAGGCCCAGACAGCCAGGAUGUUGGCUUAGAAGCAGCCAUCAUUUAAAGAAAGCGUAAUAGCUCACUGGUCGAGUCGGCCUGCGCGGAAGAUGUAACGGGGCUAAACCAUGCACCGAAGCUGCGGCAGCGACACUAUGUGUUGUUGGGUAGGGGAGCGUUCUGUAAGCCUGUGAAGGUGGCCUGUGAGGGUUGCUGGAGGUAUCAGAAGUGCGAAUGCUGACAUAAGUAACGAUAAAGCGGGUGAAAAGCCCGCUCGCCGGAAGACCAAGGGUUCCUGUCCAACGUUAAUCGGGGCAGGGUGAGUCGACCCCUAAGGCGAGGCCGAAAGGCGUAGUCGAUGGGAAACAGGUUAAUAUUCCUGUACUUGGUGUUACUGCGAAGGGGGGACGGAGAAGGCUAUGUUGGCCGGGCGACGGUUGUCCCGGUUUAAGCGUGUAGGCUGGUUUUCCAGGCAAAUCCGGAAAAUCAAGGCUGAGGCGUGAUGACGAGGCACUACGGUGCUGAAGCGACAAAUGCCCUGCUUCCAGGAAAAGCCUCUAAGCAUCAGGUAACAUCAAAUCGUACCCCAAACCGACACAGGUGGUCAGGUAGAGAAUACCAAGGCGCUUGAGAGAACUCGGGUGAAGGAACUAGGCAAAAUGGUGCCGUAACUUCGGGAGAAGGCACGCUGAUAUGUAGGUGAAGCGACUUGCUCGUGGAGCUGAAAUCAGUCGAAGAUACCAGCUGGCUGCAACUGUUUAUUAAAAACACAGCACUGUGCAAACACGAAAGUGGACGUAUACGGUGUGACGCCUGCCCGGUGCCGGAAGGUUAAUUGAUGGGGUUAGCGGUAACGCGAAGCUCUUGAUCGAAGCCCCGGUAAACGGCGGCCGUAACUAUAACGGUCCUAAGGUAGCGAAAUUCCUUGUCGGGUAAGUUCCGACCUGCACGAAUGGCGUAAUGAUGGCCAGGCUGUCUCCACCCGAGACUCAGUGAAAUUGAACUCGCUGUGAAGAUGCAGUGUACCCGCGGCAAGACGGAAAGACCCCGUGAACCUUUACUAUAGCUUGACACUGAACAUUGAGCCUUGAUGUGUAGGAUAGGUGGGAGGCUUUGAAGUGUGGACGCCAGUCUGCAUGGAGCCGACCUUGAAAUACCACCCUUUAAUGUUUGAUGUUCUAACGUGGGCCCCUUACCGGGGUUGCGGACAGUGUCUGGUGGGUAGUUUGACUGGGGCGGUCUCCUCCUAAAGAGUAACGGAGGAGCACGAAGGUUGGCUAAUCCUGGUCGGACAUCAGGAGGUUAGUGCAAUGGCAUAAGCCAGCUUGACUGCGAGCGUGACGGCGCGAGCAGGUGCGAAAGCAGGUCAUAGUGAUCCGGUGGUUCUGAAUGGAAGGGCCAUCGCUCAACGGAUAAAAGGUACUCCGGGGAUAACAGGCUGAUACCGCCCAAGAGUUCAUAUCGACGGCGGUGUUUGGCACCUCGAUGUCGGCUCAUCACAUCCUGGGGCUGAAGUAGGUCCCAAGGGUAUGGCUGUUCGCCAUUUAAAGUGGUACGCGAGCUGGGUUUAGAACGUCGUGAGACAGUUCGGUCCCUAUCUGC
Molecule: ribosomal RNA, 2112 nt
Filed under: Escherichia coli
Lineage: Bacteria; Pseudomonadati; Pseudomonadota; Gammaproteobacteria; Enterobacterales; Enterobacteriaceae
Description: partial 23S ribosomal RNA
Rfam family: Bacterial large subunit ribosomal RNA
Source: RNAcentral